UACGUAGGGUGCAAGCGUUGUCCGGAAUUAUUGGGCGUAAAGAGCUUGUAGGCGGUUUGUCGCGUCUGCUGUGAAAUUUCGGGGCUCAACCCCGAACUUGCAGUGGGUACGGGCAGACUAGAGUGUGGUAGGGGAGACUGGAAUUCCUGGUGUAGCGGUGAAAUGCGCAGAUAUCAGGAGGAACACCGAUGGCGAAGGCGGCAUCCUGGACCGAUAUUGGCGCUGAGUGAGCGAAAGCCAGGGGAGCAAACGGG
RNAcentral lists this ribosomal RNA (254 nucleotides) under uncultured bacterium. Its description in RNAcentral is "partial 16S ribosomal RNA". It matches the Rfam family "Bacterial small subunit ribosomal RNA", at positions 524 to 776 of the family's 1533-position model. The record is from RNAcentral.